This is a long non-coding RNA of Leptidea sinapis, 677 nucleotides long. RefSeq lists it as uncharacterized. The record is from RefSeq and is a predicted model, not a curated record. The transcript has 5 exons. Lineage: Eukaryota; Metazoa; Arthropoda; Insecta; Lepidoptera; Pieridae.
AGAAAUCAAACGACUAAUUUAUCUUAUGCAAGAAUUUCUCUAAAGCUUGAUUCUUUAGAAGCUUAUAAAUAUAGUUUAGUUUUAGAAAGCUAACUAUGUCUCGUAGGCGAUACAAGUCCAGUAAAAAUCCAGAAUACAAGGAUAGGAGUGCUAUGGAAAGUCCAUCAUACCUUGACCCAGAGUAUUUCGAAGCAGCGCAUGCGCGAUACAUGAGAGGUGCGGAGGAAUAUGCGCUGCAAGAUCCUGAUGAGCCACCGGCAGAACCAGCAGACCCAGCUCCAGAGCCCAUACCUGCACCCCUUCCAGAACCGAGUCCAGCUCCAAUUCCAGAACCGCCGGCUCAAUUUAAACAGCACCUCACUCCGAUCUUUGUUUUGACAGCCAUUUUUGGAGCAUUGUUUAUUAUACUGCCGCUUUUAGUUAGAAAAGGACCAAAUAAGGGAAUUGUGCAAUGUAGCCUGAUGCUCACUGUCGCCUGCAUGUAUAUCUUCUGGGUGACUGUGUAUAUCGGCCAAAUGAAUCCACUGAUGGGACCUCGGUUUGAGAACACCACAGUCGCAUGGAUAGCCCGAAAAUUGGGAAAGCCAGCGACCGUUAGCAACUCAACGGUAACCUAUUUAUUUUAAGGACUUUAUUACAGUACUUGUUUUAAUAUAAUAUUGCUAUAGAAAGAGAAA